GUGCCAGCAGCCGCGGUAAUUCCAGCUCCAAUAGCGUAUAUUAAAGUUGUUGUGGUUAAAAAGCUCGUAGUUGAACCUUGGGCCUGGCUGGCCGGUCCGCCUCACCGCGUGCACUGGUCCGGCCGGGCCUUUCCCUCUGUGGAACCCCAUACCCUUCACUGGGCGUGGCGGGGAAACAGGACAUUUACUUUGAAAAAAUUAGAGUGCUCCAGGCAGGCCUAUGCUCGAAUACAUUAGCAUGGAAUAAUAAAAUAGGACGCGCGGUUCUAUUUUGUUGGUUUAUAGGACCGCCGUAAUGAUUAAUAGGGACAGUCGGUGGCAUCAGUAUUCAACUGUCAGAGGUGAAAUUCUUGGAUCAGUUGAAGACUAACUACUGCGAAAGCAUUUGCCAAGGAUGUUUUCAUUAAUCAGGAACGAAAGUUAGGGGAUCGAAGACGAUCAGAUACCGUCGUAGUCUUAACCAUAAACUAUGCCGACUAGGGAUCGGACGGUGUUAUUCAUGACCCGUUCGGCACCUUACGAGAAAUCAAAGUGCUUGGGCUCCAGGGGGAGUAUGGUCGCAAGGCUGAAACUUAAAGAAAUUGACGGAAGGGCACCACCAGGGGUGGAGCCUGCGGCUUAAUUUGACUCAACACGGGGAAACUCACCAGGUCCAGACACAAUAAGGAUUGACAGAUUGAGAGCUCUUUCUUGAUUUUGUGGUGGUGGUGCAUGACCGUUCUUAGUGGUGGGUGACUUGUCUGCUUAAUUGCGAUAACGAACGAGACCUUAACCUGCUAAAUAGCCCGCAUUGCUCCGGCAGUGCGCUGGCCUCC
This 815-nucleotide ribosomal RNA is filed under the name uncultured fungus. RNAcentral's name for it is "SSU rRNA". It matches the Rfam family "Eukaryotic small subunit ribosomal RNA", at positions 564 to 1389 of the family's 1831-position model. The record is from RNAcentral. Lineage: Eukaryota; Fungi.